RNAcentral lists this ribosomal RNA (642 nucleotides) under uncultured bacterium. RNAcentral's name for it is "bacterial SSU rRNA". It matches the Rfam family "Bacterial small subunit ribosomal RNA", at positions 232 to 873 of the family's 1533-position model. The record is from RNAcentral.
CGCGGCCUAUCAGCUUGUUGGCGAGGUAACGGCUCACCAAGGCAACGACGGGUAGCUGGUCUGAGAGGAUGGCCAGCCACAUUGGGACUGAGAUACGGCCCAGACUCCUACGGGAGGCAGCAGUGGGGAAUCUUGCGCAAUGGCCUAACGGCUGACGCAGCGACGCCGCGUGUGGGAUGAAGCUCCUCGGAGUGUAAACCACUGUUGCCCGGGACGAAUAGCUCGAUUAAUCGAGCCUGACGGUACCGGGUGAGGAAGCACCGGCUAACUCCGUGCCAGCAGCCGCGGUAAUACGGGGGGUGCGAGCGUUGUCCGGAAUCACUGGGCGUAAAGGGCGCGUAGGUGGUUUGAUAAGGGUGUGGUGAAAGUCCGGGGCUCAACCCCGGAUCUGCCGUGCCGACUGUCAAACUCGAGGACUGUAGAGGCAGACGGAAUUCCGGGUGUAGCGGUGGAAUGCGUAGAGAUCCGGAGGAAGACCGGUGGCGAAGGCGGUCUGCUGGGCAGUUUCUGACACUGAGGCGCGACAGCGUGGGGAGCAAACAGGAUUAGAUACCCUGGUAGUCCACGCCGUAAACGAUGGGUACUAGGUGCCUGGGGGAGCGACCCUCUGGGUGCCGGCGCUAACGCAGGAAGUACCCCGCC